This 1439-nucleotide ribosomal RNA is filed under the name uncultured organism. RNAcentral's name for it is "SSU rRNA". It matches the Rfam family "Bacterial small subunit ribosomal RNA". The record is from RNAcentral.
CUACAGGCUUAACACAUGCAAGUCGAGGGGCAUCAGGAAGAAAGCUUGCUUUCUUUGCUGGCGACCGGCGCACGGGUGAGUAACACGUAUCCAACCUGCCCUUUACUCGGGGAUAGCCUUUCGAAAGAAAGAUUAAUACCCGAUGGCAUAAUGAUUCCGCAUGGUUUCAUUAUUAAAGGAUUCCGGUAAAGGAUGGGGAUGCGUUCCAUUAGGUUGUUGGUGAGGUAACGGCUCACCAAGCCUUCGAUGGAUAGGGGUUCUGAGAGGAAGGUCCCCCACAUUGGAACUGAGACACGGUCCAAACUCCUACGGGAGGCGGCAGUGAGGAAUAUUGGUCAAUGGGCGCUAGCCUGAACCAGCCAAGUAGCGUGAAGGAUGAAGGCUCUAUGGGUCGUAAACUUCUUUUAUAUAAGAAUAAAGUGCAGUAUGUAUACUGUUUUGUAUGUAUUAUAUGAAUAAGGAUCGGCUAACUCCGUGCCAGCAGCCGCGGUAAUACGGAGGAUCCGAGCGUUAUCCGGAUUUAUUGGGUUUAAAGGGAGCGUAGGUGGACUGGUAAGUCAGUUGUGAAAGUUUGCGGCUCAACCGUAAAAUUGCAGUUGAUACUGUCAGUCUUGAGUACAGUAGAGGUGGGCGGAAUUCGUGGUGUAGCGGUGAAAUGCUUAGAUAUCACGAAGAACUCCGAUUGCGAAGGCAGCUCACUGGACUGCAACUGACACUGAUGCUCGAAAGUGUGGGUAUCAAACAGGAUUAGAUACCCUGGUAGUCCACACAGUAAACGAUGAAUACUCGCUGUUUGCGAUAUACAGUAAGCGGCCAAGCGAAAGCAUUAAGUAUUCCACCUGGGGAGUACGCCGGCAACGGUGAAACUCAAAGGAAUUGACGGGGGCCCGCACAAGCGGAGGAACAUGUGGUUUAAUUCGAUGAUACGCGAGGAACCUUACCCGGGCUUAAAUUGCAGUGGAAUGAUGUGGAAACAUGUCAGUGAGCAAUCACCGCUGUGAAGGUGCUGCAUGGUUGUCGUCAGCUCGUGCCGUGAGGUGUCGGCUUAAGUGCCAUAACGAGCGCAACCCUUAUCUUUAGUUACUAACAGGUUAUGCUGAGGACUCUAGAGAGACUGCCGUCGUAAGAUGUGAGGAAGGUGGGGAUGACGUCAAAUCAGCACGGCCCUUACGUCCGGGGCUACACACGUGUUACAAUGGGGGGUACAGAAGGCAGCUAGCGGGUGACCGUAUGCUAAUCCCAAAAGCCUCUCUCAGUUCGGAUCGAAGUCUGCAACCCGACUUCGUGAAGCUGGAUUCGCCAGUAAUCGCGCAUCAGCCACGGCGCGGUGGAUACGUUCCCGGGCCUUGUACACACCGCCCGUCAAGCCAUGGGAGCCGGGGGUACCUGAAGUACGUAACCGCAAGGAGCGUCCUAGGGUAAAACUGGUAAUUGGGGCU